This is a long non-coding RNA of Ochotona princeps (American pika), 572 nucleotides long. RefSeq lists it as uncharacterized. The transcript has 3 exons. NCBI's taxonomy places the organism in Eukaryota, Metazoa, Chordata, Mammalia, Lagomorpha, Ochotonidae. The record is from RefSeq and is a predicted model, not a curated record.
CGGGAGUUCUGUGAAAGUGUGUCUAUGGCAGCCACGGAAGAUGAGAAGACUGGGAAGCAAGCAGCUCUUUACUGUCUACCCUGGGCCCUAGUCAUUCCUACUGCUGAAGAAUGGCCCCUCACAAGCUGCCAAGACAGCUCUAAGUCCAGAAAUCCUGAAGCUAUGUGCUGGACAAAGACGCACAGCCUACAUACCCUGCAAGGAAGGACCAAUGAGUAGUUUUAGCUUUGCCUUUGACAUGGCUUGCUGCCCAGGCACAAUGUCGCCCCUCUGAAGACAAAAAAGAUGAUUAAUCUCUUGGAGCGUGGUGGUCCUCGUCUACCAAAUAGUUUCAUCAUCUGUACAUACUUCACAAAGCUGUUGCAAAAUACAUGGCCAGACAUGCAUGAAGAUGGAAUGAGAACUGACUGGAGCUUUGUGGGGGUGUCCCAGGAGGGACCUCGGGAUUCUCCUAGGGGAAUUUAAAAUAUGAGAUUAUCAUUUAUCUGAUGAAUGACCUUGGAUGCAUUUACCUGCUGUCUGCACCUGUUUCUUCUACAGCGUGAAGGUCAUCACAGCACUCAGGUAAAGUU